GAUGAAGAACGUAGCGAAAUGCGAUACGUAAUGUGAAUUGCAGAUUUCAGUGAAUCAUCGAAUCUUUGAACGCACAUUGCGCCCGCUAGUAUUCUAGUGGGCAUGCCUGUUCGAGCGUCAUUAAGUCCACUUAAGCCCUGCUUAGUGUUGGGAGACUGCUCCAGCGGUGCUACCCUGUAGCUACCCUGCAGCUCCUCAAAGACAGCGGCGGAGUUGUGGUAUCCUCUGAGCUUAGUAACUUGUUCUAGCUUUCGAGUACACCACUUCCCCUGCCGUAAAACCCUUAAUUUUUAAUGGUUGACCUCGGAUCAGGUAGGAAUACCCGCUGAACUUAAGCAUAUCAAUAAGCGGAGGA
RNAcentral lists this unclassified non-coding RNA (355 nucleotides) under soil metagenome. RNAcentral's name for it is "partial contains 5.8S ribosomal RNA, internal transcribed spacer 2, and large subunit ribosomal RNA". The stretch from base 1 to 120 matches the Rfam family "5.8S ribosomal RNA", at positions 35 to 154 of the family's 154-position model. The record is from RNAcentral.